CCUACGGGAGGCAGCAGUGGGGAAUAUUGCACAAUGGGCGCAAGCCUGAUGCAGCCAUGCCGCGUGUGUGAAGAAGGCCUUCGGGUUGUAAAGCACUUUCAGCGGGGAGGAAGGCGUUAAGGUUAAUAACCUUGGCGAUUGACGUUACCCGCAGAAGAAGCACCGGCUAACUCCGUGCCAGCAGCCGCGGUAAUACGGAGGGUGCAAGCGUUAAUCGGAAUUACUGGGCGUAAAGCGCACGCAGGCGGUCUCUCAAGUCGGAUGUGAAAUCCCCGGGCUCAACCUGGGAACUGCAUUCGAAACUGGCAGGCUAGAGUCUUGUAGAGGGGGGUAGAAUUCCAGGUGUAGCGGUGAAAUGCGUAGAGAUCUGGAGGAAUACCGGUGGCGAAGGCGGCCCCCUGGACAAAGACUGACGCUCAGGUGCGAAAGCGUGGGGAGCAAACAGGAUUAGAUACCCCUGUAGUC
RNAcentral lists this ribosomal RNA (465 nucleotides) under uncultured Klebsiella sp. Its description in RNAcentral is "bacterial SSU rRNA". It matches the Rfam family "Bacterial small subunit ribosomal RNA", at positions 338 to 795 of the family's 1533-position model. Lineage: Bacteria; Pseudomonadati; Pseudomonadota; Gammaproteobacteria; Enterobacterales; Enterobacteriaceae. The record is from RNAcentral.